Molecule: ribosomal RNA, 403 nt
Filed under: uncultured bacterium
Lineage: Bacteria
Description: bacterial SSU rRNA
Rfam family: Bacterial small subunit ribosomal RNA
Source: RNAcentral
UGGGGAAUAUUGCGCAAUGGGGGAAACCCUGACGCAGCGAUGCCGCGUGAGUGACGACGUCUUUCGGGAUGUAAAGCUCUGUCAAGUGGGACGAUAAUGACGGUACCACUGGAGGAAGCCCCGGCUAACUACGUGCCAGCAGCCGCGGUAAUACGUAGGGGGCAAGCGUUAUCCGGAUUUAUUGGGCAUAAAGCGCGCGUAGGCGGUAUUUUAAGUCAGAUGUUAAAGCCUUGAGCUCAACUCAAGUAAGCAUUUGAUACUGAAGUACUAGAGGUCAGUAGAGGAAAGCGGAACUCAUAGUGUAGCGGUGAAACGCGUAGAUAUUAUGAGGAACACCGGUUGCGAAGGCGGCUUUCUGGACUGAUUCUGACGCUGAGGUGCGAAAGCGUGGGGAGCAAACAGG